This 306-nucleotide long non-coding RNA is filed under the name Trifolium pratense (red clover). RNAcentral describes it as "long non-coding RNA (TPRA_LNC006429)". The record is from RNAcentral. Lineage: Eukaryota; Viridiplantae; Streptophyta; Magnoliopsida; Fabales; Fabaceae.
AAAGCACCAUGUUCGUCUCUGAUACAAAUCCCAAUGCCAACUCUGUCAGAGCUCGGCGGGAAGGAAGCAUCUAUGUUGCAUUUCACUCGGCCGGUCGUUGUUCUACGCCAAGAUCUUACCACGGAGUCCUGAAAAGUCGGGCCUGGCUUGGAAGCGACAAUACGGACUGCUUUCCAAUCCUGCAACAUAUUAACAGCACGGGAAAAAACAAAAUGUUGAGCAUCAAUUACAUUAUUCCAAAUCUGAUUAUUACGUUGCUUCCAAAUACUCCACAAAACACAAGCAAAUACUGCUGAAUCAUCUUUC